CUGGAUACUAGUUGGCUGAACUGGCUGUGAUGUCACCAGGACCCUUCCCAUGUCAACCCCUGUGAUUCAGCUGGGACCUGUGCUCCCCGCCGCCGCC
Chelonoidis abingdonii (Abingdon island giant tortoise) is the source of this 97-nucleotide non-coding RNA. NCBI's taxonomy places the organism in Eukaryota, Metazoa, Chordata, Testudines, Testudinidae. The record is from RefSeq and is a predicted model, not a curated record.